Molecule: non-coding RNA, 1257 nt
Organism: Myodes glareolus (Bank vole)
Lineage: Eukaryota; Metazoa; Chordata; Mammalia; Rodentia; Cricetidae
Source: RefSeq, a predicted model, not a curated record
GAACUAGAGGAGUAAGGUCGAGGUCAUCCUAAGCUACAUUAGGAGUUUCAGGGUAACCUGAGCUACAAAAGUCACUAUCUUAAACAGCAAAAAUAAACAGCUAAGCAGAGUUUGAAGGAAGCUGCCCUUAUCCCCUUUGCUGUCACUGUGUGAAUGCUAAAGCUUCCUCAGUGGGAGAGAACACACCACACACAGAUUCAGCCAGCACCCUGUGUUGGAACUGUUAAUCCCACAGAUGUGAGGAGAAAAACCAUUGACCUACAUCAUCGUGGCCAAAUUAAUUAAAUCAAGCAAUUAAUUAAAGAAAGCUUUUUUAUUCAUGUGCACAGGCUGCCUCCCCCUGUUCAAGAGGGUUCAAGAGAUCAGCAUUGGACAUUGGGAAGAUAAGGACUUUUAUACCUCAAGGUGGCCAGAGUCUGCAGCAAAAUCAACGGACCCAGCAGACUUCCUGGAAAACGAAGCACCUGGAAUUGUUACCCACUGAACUUGAUCCUGACCCCAAGGCUGAAGAACUGCCUUCAUCCGGUCCACUGAGGGCGUGUGUUCGUUGUGAGUGUCGACGUUCUCAGAGCUGUCUAGUCGAUGACAUUUUCCGGGGAAGUUCAGGUUUGUACUUGAACCCCUUGGGAAGGACACAGGGAAUGUGAGAGGAAGACUGUGAGCCCAGGAACCAGACUGCCCGUGAGGAUGUCAACAAGGAGAAGGCCAUACAGAGCAACUACUGUGGGCUGGUGGGAGGGAGCCAAGUGUGACUGCUACAGGUGGGCCUGGGAAACCAGAGAAGGCUUCCUGGAGGAGGAAAAAAGGAAGAGGUGCAGAGGAGGAGAAGGAAGAGGAAGAAGAUGGCAAAGAGGAGGAGGGCAAAUCCGGGCAGCUUACCUCCUUUUGCAUGAGCUCGGCAUAAACCAUGCAGGCAGCAGAGAUCAGCUCGUCAGCAUCGAGGUCGAUGAGGUUGUUGCAGGCCUGGGAGGGAGACACAUGUGCGCGGUGUGUGUGCAUGCGCAUGUGUGUAAGCAGACAUGUCUCCUGUGCCUUUGGGUACAGGCAGCACAAAGGGCCCUUGGAGGAGUCUCCUAAGAACCAUCAGCAUGGAGCUCCAUACUCCAGCUCCCAUCCCUUGCUCCCCUCUGGAGGCCAAAGCGGCCAUAAACUAGCACACCGUGGACUUUUAUCCUGCUACAAAAUGGGCCCAGGGGUCCAGCUCUAGAGGCUGGAGAGGAAUGCGGCCGAGGGCGCUCACCAGGAGGAUGGCGUCGC